RNAcentral lists this ribosomal RNA (429 nucleotides) under Bacillota bacterium. RNAcentral describes it as "Firmicutes bacterium partial 16S ribosomal RNA". It matches the Rfam family "Bacterial small subunit ribosomal RNA", at positions 355 to 776 of the family's 1533-position model. Lineage: Bacteria; Bacillati; Bacillota. The record is from RNAcentral.
UAGGGAAUCUUCGGCAAUGGACGGAAGUCUGACCGAGCAACGCCGCGUGAGUGAAGAAGGUUUUCGGAUCGUAAAGCUCUGUUGUUAGAGAAGAACGUUGGUAGGAGUGGAAAAUCUACCAAGUGACGGUAACUAACCAGAAAGGGACGGCUAACUACGUGCCAGCAGCCGCGGUAAUACGUAGGUCCCGAGCGUUGUCCGGAUUUAUUGGGCGUAAAGCGAGCGCAGGCGGUUCUUUAAGUCUGAAGUUAAAGGCAGUGGCUUAACCAUUGUACGCUUUGGAAACUGGAGGACUUGAGAGCAGAAGGGGAGAGUGGAAUUCCAUGUGUAGCGGUGAAAUGCGUAGAUAUAUGGAGGAACACCGGUGGCGAAAGCGGCUCUCUGGUCUGUAACUGACGCUGAGGCUCGAAAGCGUGGGGAGCAAACAGG